RNAcentral lists this non-coding RNA (379 nucleotides) under Dichotomaria marginata. Lineage: Eukaryota; Rhodophyta; Florideophyceae; Nemaliales; Galaxauraceae. The record is from RNAcentral.
UCUACACGGGGCUGUUAGGUUUCUACAUGUUAAUAUAUUCUAUAGAAGUUAUACAUUUUUUUCACAUUUUUAUUGUGAAUAUUAAAUAAUAAAUGCAAAAAAUCAAAUUGUUCCUUUAUCUCGAAAUCUAGUGAUUGUAUAGAUAUUUUUAAUUUAUUCAUACAAUUGUCGAUUGAGAAUCAGUUAUAUCAUAUGGGUAUUUCUGAUUAUUGAAUUAAUAUUGCUCUUGAUAAUGAUUAAUAUUUUAAAUUAAAAAUUACAAGCUAAGUCAUAAAUCGUAUUUGCUUAUGUUUUUCCUUUUAUAUUUAUAGUAUAUUGAUUAUAAAUAAAUUACUUCUAAGAUCGUUUUAUUAACAUGGACGUGGGUUCGAAUCCCACC